UUUUGAAGCUAGUUAUGCGCCUUUAAAAUUGGAGGUGAGAGAGUGAGAGACACCAGAGAAAGAGACAGUCGUGUUCUCUGCGGUCUCUCACUCUCUCACCUCCCAACUUUCAAGGCGCAGAACUCGCUUCGAAA
Molecule: small RNA, 134 nt
Filed under: Caenorhabditis brenneri
Lineage: Eukaryota; Metazoa; Nematoda; Chromadorea; Rhabditida; Rhabditidae
Description: sRNA CBN34293
Source: RNAcentral